This 433-nucleotide ribosomal RNA is filed under the name uncultured bacterium. RNAcentral describes it as "partial 16S ribosomal RNA". It matches the Rfam family "Bacterial small subunit ribosomal RNA", at positions 29 to 507 of the family's 1533-position model. The record is from RNAcentral.
AACGAACGCUGGCGGCAUGCCUAACACAUGCAAGUCGAACGAGACCUUCGGGUCUAGUGGCGCACGGGCGCGUAACGCGUGGGAACCUGCCCUUAGGUUCGGAAUAACUCCCCGAAAGGGGUGCUAAUACCGGAUAAUGUCUUCGGACCAAAGAUUUAUCGCCUUUGGAUGGGCCCGCGUUGGAUUAGCUAGUUGGUAGGGUAAAAGCAUACCAAGGCGACGAUCCAUAGCUGGUCUGAGAGGAUGAUCAGCCACACUGGGACUGAGACACGGCCCAGACUCCUACGGGAGGCAGCAGUGGGGAAUAUUGGACAAUGGGCGAAAGCCUGAUCCAGCAAUGCCGCGUGAGUGAUGAAGGCCUUAGGGUUGUAAAGCUCUUUUACCCGGGAUGAUAAUGACAGUACCGGGAGAAUAAGCUCCGGCUAACUCCGUG